Molecule: long non-coding RNA, 6451 nt
Filed under: Sus scrofa (pig)
Lineage: Eukaryota; Metazoa; Chordata; Mammalia; Artiodactyla; Suidae
Description: lncRNA (ENSSSCG00045000632.1)
Source: RNAcentral
CUAAGGGUUUAUCAAUUUUGUUGAUUUUUUCAAAAAAAACAGCUUUUCGUUACAUUGAUCUUUUCUAUGGCUUUCUUCAUUUCUAUUUCAUUGAUUUCUGCUCUGAUCUUUAUGAUUUCUUUCCUCCUAAUAACUUUAGGUCUUAUCUGUUCUCUCUAAAGCUACUUUAGAUGUAACGUUAGCCUGUUUUUUGAGCUUUUUCUUGUUUCCUGAGGUAGGCUUGUAUUGCUAUAAAUUUCCCUCUUAGAACGGAUUUUGCUGCAUCCCAUAGGUUUUGAAGUGUCAUAUCUUUGUUGUCAUUUGCUUCUAGGUAUUUUUUAAUUUCCUCUUUGAUUUCUUCAGUGAUCCAUUGGUUGUUUAGUAGCAUGUUGUUUAGUCUCCACGUGUUUGUGUUUUUUGCAGUUUUUUUCUUGUUGAUUUCCAGGUGUAUAGCGUUGUGGUUGGAAAAGAUGCUUGAUAUGAUCUCAAUUUUCCUAAAGUUACCGAGGCUUGAUUUGUAGCCCAGGAUAUGGUCAAUCUUAGAGAAUGUUCCAUGUGCACUUCUGUUGCUUUUGGAUGAAAUGUCCUAUAAAUAUCAAUUAAGUCCAUUUGGUUUAAUGCUUCAUUCAGGGCCUGUGUUUCCUUAUUGAUUUUCUGUCUGGAUGAUCUGUCCAUUGCUGUAAGUGGGGUGUUAAAGUCCCCCACUAUGAUUGUGUUAUUGUCAAUAUGUCCUUUUAAGAUAGUUAGCAGUUGCCUUAUAUAUUGUGGUGAACCUAUGUUGGGUGCCUAGAUAUUUGAAAUUGUUAUAUCUUCUUCCUGGAUUGAUCCUUUGAUCAUUAGGUAGUGACCUUGUUCCUUAAAAUAUUCUUCAUUUUAAAGUCUAUUUUGUCUGAUACGAGUAUUGCUACUCCAGCUUUCUUUUGAUCCCCGUUUGCAUGAAAUAUGUUCUUCUAUCCUCUCACUUUCAAUUUGUAUGUGUCCCUAGAAGUGAAGUGGGUCUCUUAAAAACAGCAUAUAUAUGGUUCUUAUUUUUGUAUCCAUUCAGCCAGUCUAUGUCUUUUGGUUGGGGCAUUUAGUCCAUUAACAUUUAAGGUAAUUAUUGAUAUGUAUGUUCUUACUGCCACUUUAUUAAUUGCUUUGGAUUUGUUUUUGUUGCUCUUUUUUCGUCCCUCUUGUUCUCUCCUCUUGUGGUUUGAUGACUAUCUUUAGUGUUGUGUUUGAGUUGAUUUUUCUUAUAUGUUUGUGUAUAAAUUGUAGAUUUUUGGUUUGCAGUUAUCAUGAAGUUUUGAUAUGAGUCUAUAUACAUAUGAGAUUGUUUUAAGUUGCUGGCCUCUUAAUUCCAAGUGCAUCUCUAGUCUCCUGCAUUUGUACCCACCUCUUCUCAUGAUUUCUGAUUUAGGCGGUAUAAUUGUGUGUGGAUGAUUUUGUAUCUUUAUAUAUACCUUUACUGGUGAGCCUUGUCAUUUGUGGUAUUUUUGUUUCCUAUUGCAACCUUUUCUUUUCUGUCUAGAGAAGUUCCUUUAGUAUUUGUUGUAAAGCUGGUUUAGUGUUGCUGAAUUCUCUUAGCUUUUGCUUAUCUGUGAAGCUUUUGAUUUCUCCUUCAAAUCUGAAUGAGAGCCUUGCUGGGUAAAGUAAUCUUGGGUUGAAGGUUUUUUUCCUUUCAUCACGUUAAGUAUAUCAUGCCACUCCCUUUUGGCCUGCAGAGUUUCUGCUGAAAAAUCUGCUGAUAACCUUAUUGGGGUUCCCUUGUAUGUUACUUGUUUCUUUUCCCUAGCUGCUUUCAAGAUUUUCUCUGUCUUUAAUUUUGGUCAGUUUGAUUAAUAUGUGUCUCGGGGUAUUCCUCCUUGGGUUUAUUUUAUAUGGUACUCAUUGUGCUUCCUGGAUUUGAGUGAGUGGUUCCUUUCUCCUGUUAGGGAAGGUUUUGGCUAUUAUCUCUGUGAAUAUUUUUUCUGUCCCCUUCUCUCUCCUUUUUCCUUCUGGCAGCCCUAUAAUACAGAUGUUGGUGUGUUUAACAUUGUCCCAGAGUUCUCUGAGACUCCUUUCAUUUUCAAUCUUUUUUCUCUUUUUUGUUCCAUAUCCCUAAUUUCCACUAAUCUGUCCUCCACUUCACUUAUUCGUUCUUCUGCCUCCUGUAUUCUGCUGUUAGCUGCUUCUAGUGAGUUUUUUAAUUUCAAUUAUUGUAUUUUGCAUCUCUUGUUUAAGUUUUAUAUCUUGUAUCUCUUUGUUCAGUGUUUCCUGUAAGUUAUCCAUCUUUGCCUCCAGUUUAUUUCCAAUGUCUUGCAUCAUCUUCAGCAUCAUGGUCUAAAGUCUUUCCUGGAGGCUGAGAAUCUCCUGCUCACUUAGCUGAUUUUCUGGGGGGUUUUCUUUCUCUUUCAUCUGAGUUAUGGUUCUCUGUCUUCUCAUUUUUAUAGGUUUUUGGUGUGGUGACCUUUUUACAGAUAAGAGAGUUGUAGACUGUCUUAAUUCUGGUGUCUGCCCCCCUUGUGGCUGAAGUUGGUACAGGGGCUUGCUGUAGGCUUCCUGAUGGGAGGGACUGUUGCCUGCCCACUGGUAGGUGGAGCUGAUUCCUAUCCCUCUGGUGGGUGGGGAUUUGUCUCUGGAUGAGGUUAGAGGUGGCUGUGUGCCUAGGGGGUCUUUAGGCAGCCUGUUUACUGUGGGUCUGUGAUCCCGCCUGGAUUGUUGUUUGCCCUGGGGCUCCUCAGUGCUGAUGGGUAGGGCCAGAUUUUCCCAAAAUGGACGCCACCUCCAGAGAAAGGCAUGCUGCUGAAUAUUCCCGAGAGCCUUACUUCCAAUGUCUUUCCCCCACCACAAGCCACAUUCACCCCUGUUUUCCCAGGAGGUCCUCCAUGAACUGCAGUCAGGUUUGACCCAGAUUCCUAUGGAGACUUUGCUUUGCCCUGGGACCCAGUGCAUGUCAAAGUCUGUGUGCGCCUUUUAAGAAUGGGGUCUCCAUUUCCCCCAGUCCUGUGGAGCUCCUGCGCACAAGCCCCACUGGCCUUCAAUGCCAGAUCCUCCAGGGGCUCUUUCUCCCAGUGCUGGAUCCCCACACAUGGGAGUCUUAUGUGGGGCUCAGGACUCUGACUCCUGUAGGUGAGUCUCUGUGAACCAGUUACUUUCCAGUCUGUGGGGCUUCCCACCUGGGUGGUAUGGGGUUGCUUAUGUCAUGUAAUCGCCCCUCCUACCUCUUGAUGUGGCCUCCUCUUUGUCUUCUGGAGUAGGAUAUCUUUUUGAAAGUUUCCAGUCCAUUUGGUUGAAGAUUGCUCAGUAUUUAGUUGUAUAUUUUGUUGUUUUUAGGAGAGAAGUUGAGCUCCAGUCCUUCUAUUCUGCCAUCUUAACCCCAUCCAUGAUAACUCAUUCUUCACACAUCUUCUGAACUUAGAUUAGAAGAAUCCAAGCUACAGAGUGGAGCAUCUCCUUUCACCACCUUCCUUUUUCUGAUUCUUUCUUUUCUCCAAGGGUGCAGCCACCUCUCUUGAACUCUCACCCUUUUCCCUGCAUAAGCUCUUCAUCCUUCCUUCAUUUGGUGUUGGGGGGUGUGUUGUCUAUUUUUUCUUUCACAUGCCUCUGAGACUGGUUUCCUCUCAGGGAAUUUGACAGCCCCACUGCCAUGACCCAGAUGGAAGACAUGACAAGUUGCCACCAAUAAUAAUCACUUGUCAUUAAGUCAUUCCAGUGAAGACAAAAAGCAAAGAGGUCCCAUUCAUUAAGUUCCUGUCUCUGGCUGUCACACACAGAGGGGAUACUGGUGGACUGAAGGAGGCAGCUUUGUUUUUUAUGAAAAAGAGACUUUCAGUCUUUUCCCCUACACUUGGUAAGAGCCUGCUUUGGUGGUAAACACGAUAGCAGAAAUAUCCUCUUCAAACUCCCUGCUGUUCCCUAUAAAAUGUCUACAGGUGGCUCUGAAAGCUGAGCCUCUGGAGGAAUUGAUUCUCCCUUUAGAGGUCUGGGGGUCUAUGUUAUUAAAGGCACAGACGCUGGUGCCAAACAGACCAAAGGUUCAAGACUUGGCUCUACCUCUUGUUGAUGCCAGGGCCCUGGGCAAGAUAUGUCCUAGUUCUGAAGCUCCAUUUACUCCUGUUUAAAAUAAAGGGAAUUUCAGUCCCCACUUUAAAGAGGUUGCUGUGGUUGAGAUAAUGUGUAUAUAGCUCUCAGCACAUACUGAGAGCUUGACUGGCGAGAGGUGGGAUUACUGUGGCUGUUGUCAUCAGGAAAUAAUCAACCACAAAAACGACAAUGAAUCCCCAAACACGACAACCCACCAGCACAGCCUUAACGAAAACACAAAUGGUUCCCCUGUGGCUCUUUCACACAUGCUUCCUAAACGUCCUAAUAGCCACACCACCACUUCAGAGGAGCUCUUACUGUGUGCCAUGCAUGAGCUGAGAGCAGGUGACAACCCAUUCCAGUGUUAAAACUGAAAACCCCACAUCCCUGGAGACCCUUAAGUCCUAAGCAAAUCAGGAUGACCCCUCUACCAAGCAGAGAGUUUUAAGUGUAUUUAAUCCUCACACUAAGCUUUCAAGAAAGGCAUUUCUGUUCCCAUUUUACAGUCGAGGAAGGUGAACAUAUAGAGAUGCUUCUUUAAUGAGCAUAGGGACCACCGGGGUUCUUGUUCCAUUGCUGAUUUAGACUCAGAACCUGCCGGAGCAUUGACAACAAGCUUCUGGGUGGCACUGAUGCUGCUGGCCCAGGGACCAAGCUUUGAGUAGCAACCUUGCAGUGAUCAGUCACAUGCCUGAGGUAGAGCAGAGGUUCAGACCUACGGGUCCCUCCCCACAGCAGCCUUCAGCUGUGAUGCAGGGUGGCCUCUGUCUUCCAGGAAGAGUGGGGAGUGAAGCAAGACGGUGUCUGUUGUCUGACAUCUUCACCUCUGUGUGUUUCCAUCGGCCUCCCCAGCUGAGACAGCCACAUGUCACAGUCUGUCAGGCCCGUCGUCUUAUCCAACAAAGCACUUUCAGAGAGAGGCUGUGAGUCAGAACACACUGUACAAGAGGGAGGAAGAGGGGCCACCCCUGGUGAACUGCCCCACUCCCGGGAGAGAAAAGAAGCCACCCUAAACCAGGUGGUGCCCACGCCUAUUUGCAGAUGGAAACGAUGACACCACUGGGAACACAGCCACCCCCUCCUGCACACUGGCCUUGGGGCUCUCAAACUCCAAUGAGUCACAGAGUCCUUCUGAGCCUCUGUGUUUCCAUCUAUAGAAUGGACCCAGUGGGGCUCUGGUUCCCUGGAGGGGUGGGGGGCCAUCUGUCACACAGUAACGCCCUGGAGCUCUGUGAACUGCAGCGAGGGCAGGGGUGUCACCCGCGGGUACAAAAGGAGAGCUGCCACCUCCUCGCUCCCUCCCCCUGAUCCUGUGUGCCCAGAACAUACUGUCCAGGCCUCUAUUGUUGCUCUCUCAUCACCAGGUAUUUAAAGUGUCUAUUUAAGUACCUGUAUCCAUGCAACUAGAUUAAUGCUAAUUCCUCUGCAGGAACAGGACCCAGGCCAGCUCCUAUAUAUGGUGGACCUCAGAGCUCAGCAUGUUAGCUGAAGGUACAAGUAAGAGAGGGAAGAAGGGAGGGGAGGAGGGAGGGAGAGAUGGAGGGCAGAGGGCGUGGGUAAGAGAGAGGGAAGGAAUGACUGACUAUUCAGUGAGAAACAGCAGCUCAGUCCCUGGAGUUAGGGAGUUGGCUGUCGGUGGGUGCCCCACAGAUGGAGGGGUGAGAUGAGGGAUCUGGGAGGUGAAUCUGAGUGGUCGGAGUAUAGGAAUCCUUUGCAAGCCAAACUCUCAUGAUCUGACGGCAGAAACUGGGGAGGACUGGGUCAGGUAUGCUGCAAUGUCUGAACUCGUGCUACUUGCUUUCCAGAACUCAGGAACCAGGCAGAUUGAGACAAAAUGAUAACCUUCUCUAUCCAAACCCAGGAACACGGUUUCUCUGCUCAAUCCCCACCUCACUCCCAAGCCUCAUUUUCCGCCCUCCCCAUCAUCACAGAUACUAAAGCCCAUCUACUGAAUGAGUCCAUUUACAUGGAUCCACAGGCACAGAAAGCAGUGGUGGCCUGGAGCUGGCCAGGAGAUGGGACGGGGAGGGGCAGCUGAUGGGCACAGAGUCUCUGUGUGAAGUGAUGAGAGGUCCUGGAAAUAGUGGUUGCCUAACACUGUGAUGGCAGUAGCAACUGUACACUUGACAACAUAAAAUGGUGAACUGCAAUGGUGACUCUUACCUGUAUUUUACCACAAUUUUUAAAAACAAGAAGACAAACACAUAAAUAAAGCAAGCAAGUAGGACCUGCCGCUGAGGCUGGAUGCUUCUUCUGGGUUCCUUCAAUCUGGCAGCUGGUGUGUGUGUGGGGGGGGGGGUCCCUUUGGGAGCCCAUGGACGUCAUGGCCACUUGAGGCACUGAUCCAGCUGGAAGGAAGGCUCUCCUGGGGCAGCAGGAGCAGGGAGCAGGUGGCCACCCACACGGUCCUGCUCUUCCUGGGUAUCUG